Molecule: ribosomal RNA, 843 nt
Filed under: Bacillus subtilis
Lineage: Bacteria; Bacillati; Bacillota; Bacilli; Caryophanales; Bacillaceae
Description: bacterial SSU rRNA
Rfam family: Bacterial small subunit ribosomal RNA
Source: RNAcentral
CCCUGAUGUUAGCGGCGGACGGGUGAGUAACACGUGGGUAACCUGCCUGUAAGACUGGGAUAACUCCGGGAAACCGGGGCUAAUACCGGAUGCUUGUUUGAACCGCAUGGUUCAAACAUAAAAGGUGGCUUCGGCUACCACUUACAGAUGGACCCGCGGCGCAUUAGCUGGUUGGUGAGGUAACGGCUCACCAAGGCAACGAUGCGUAGCCGACCUGAGAGGGUGAUCGGCCACACUGGGACUGAGACACGGCCCAGACUCCUACGGGAGGCAGCAGUAGGGAAUCUUCCGCAAUGGACGAAAGUCUGACGGAGCAACGCCGCGUGAGUGAUGAAGGUUUUCGGAUCGUAAAGCUCUGUUGUUAGGGAAGAACAAGUACCGUUCGAAUAGGGCGGUACCUUGACGGUACCUAACCAGAAAGCCACGGCUAACUACGUGCCAGCAGCCGCGGUAAUACGUAGGUGGCAAGCGUUGUCCGGAAUUAUUGGGCGUAAAGGGCUCGCAGGCGGUUUCUUAAGUCUGAUGUGAAAGCCCCCGGCUCAACCGGGGAGGGUCAUUGGAAACUGGGGAACUUGAGUGCAGAAGAGGAGAGUGGAAUUCCACGUGUAGACGGUGAAAUGCGUAGAGAUGUGGAGGAACACCAGUGGCGAAGGCGACUCUCUGGUCUGUAACUGACGCUGAGGAGCGAAAGCGUGGGGAGCGAACAGGAUUAGAUACCCUGGUAGUCCACGCCGUAAACGAUGAGUGCUAAGUGUUAGGGGGUUUCCGCCCCUUAGUGCUGCAGCUAACGCAUUAAGCACUCCGCCUGGGGAGUACGGUCGCAAGACUGAAACUCAAAGGAAU